RNAcentral lists this ribosomal RNA (1260 nucleotides) under Pleoticus muelleri. RNAcentral describes it as "16S ribosomal RNA". The stretch from base 580 to 1260 matches the Rfam family "Archaeal large subunit ribosomal RNA", at positions 1423 to 2782 of the family's 2987-position model. The record is from RNAcentral. Lineage: Eukaryota; Metazoa; Arthropoda; Malacostraca; Decapoda; Solenoceridae.
UUUAGUAGAAUGAAUCGAAAUAUAAUAGGAUAAGCUAUAGAGAAGAGUACUGUGAAGGAAAGAUGAAAUAAAUUUGAAAAUUGAGUUAAUAAAAAGUAGUUAUAUAAAUUCGUACCUUGUGUAUCAGGGAAAACUAAAAUUGUCUGUAAAUUUGAGAAAUCCCGAAAAAAGAAGAGUUAAUUCAAAAAGAAAGUUUUCGUGUUAAUGAAAUUUUAAAUUUUGUUUUAGUAGUGAAAUGUUAGUCGAUUUUUUAUAUCUGGUUAUUAGAGAAUUAAAUUUAAUUUAGUUGCUUAAUGGUUGAAUAUAACUAAUAAGUAAUAAAGAAUAGGAGGGAAGAGCUUCUUAUUCUAUAAUGGUUAGAUUGUGAUUUAAAACUUAUUUAGAUUUGUUAAAUUAGGCUUAAAAACAGCCAUAUUAGUAAAGCGUUCUAGUUAAUAAAGUUUGCUUAAAAUAUUUAUAUAAAGAAAUCCAAAAAAAUGUAUCUAAGAUUUUUAUUUAAUAUAAGUUUAAAAGUUAUUCUGGUUUUAUUAGUAGAGUUAGAUUGUAAUUAAUUUACGUUUAAAGUAGACUAAAAAUUAUUAUAUUAAAAAAGUAUAAUUAAGGAACUCGGCAAGUAUUACUUUUGCCUGUUUAUCAAAAACAUGUCUGUAUGAUUGUUAUAUAGAGUCUGGCCUGCCCACUGAUUUAUUAAAGGGCCGCGGUAUCUUGACCGUGCGAAGGUAGCAUAAUCAUUAGUCUUUUAAUUGAAGGCUUGUAUGAAUGGUUGGACAAAAAGUUAACUGUCUCAAUUAUAAAAAUUGAAUUUAACUUUUAAGUGAAAAGGCUUAAAUAUACUGAGGGGACGAUAAGACCCUAUAAAGCUUUACAAUAAAUUAAUUAAAUUAUAAAUUAUAAGUUUAACUUAAUUUAAUUAGUAUUUGUUUCGUUGGGGCGACGAGAAUAUAAUUAUAUAACUGUUCUUUUAUUGUUAUAACAAAUUUAAUUGGGUGAAAAUUGAUCCUUUUAUAAAGAUUAAAAGAUUAAGUUACUUUAGGGAUAACAGCGUAAUCUUCUUUGAGAGUCCAUAUCGACAAGAAGGGUUGCGACCUCGAUGUUGAAUUAAGGUAUCCUUACAAUGCAGCAGUUGUAAAGGAAGGUCUGUUCGACCUUUAAAUCCUUACAUGAUUUGAGUUCAGACCGGCGUAAGCCAGGUCGGUUUCUAUCUCUCAGAAUAUAAAAAAUUACUUUAGUACGAAAGGAUUAAGUAAUUAAAAUAAUUUU